RNAcentral lists this ribosomal RNA (479 nucleotides) under uncultured bacterium. RNAcentral describes it as "partial 16S ribosomal RNA". It matches the Rfam family "Bacterial small subunit ribosomal RNA", at positions 28 to 507 of the family's 1533-position model. The record is from RNAcentral.
GAUGAACGCUAGCGGGAGGCCUAACACAUGCAAGCCGAGCGGUAUUUGGGCUUCGGAGCAGAGGGGGCGGUGCACGGGUGCGGAACACGUGUGCAACCUGCCUUGAUCUGGGGGACAGCCUUUCGAAAGGAGGAUGAAUACCCCAGAAUAUAUUGAGUGGCAUCGUUUGAUAUUGAAAACUCCGGUGGAUAGAGAGGGGCACGGGCAGGAUUAGAUAGUUGGUGAGGUAACGGCUCAGCAGGUCAAUGAUCAUUAGGGGGCCUGAGCGGGUGAUCCCCCACACUGGUACUGGGUCACCGACCAUACUCCUACGGGAGGCCGCAGUCUGGUAUAUUAGGCAAUGGGUUAGAGUCUUAUCCAGCCAUCCCGCGUGAAAGCCGGCGGCGCUAUGGGUUGUAAGCUUCUUUUGUAUUGGGAUAACCCUACUCUCGUGGGAGUAGCUGACGGUACUAUACGAAUAAGCACCGGCUAACUCCGUG